GACUACCUCGGAAGAAGUUUUCGGAUGGAUUUUGGGAUAGUUUAGUGGCGGACGGGUGAGUAACACGUGAGCAACCUGCCUUCGAGAGGGGAAUAACGGCUGGAAACGGUCGCUAAUACCGCAUAAUGUACGGAUGGGACAUCCUGUCUGUACCAAAGAUUUAUCGCUCGAAGAUGGGCUCGCGUCCGAUUAGCUUGUUGGUGAGGUAACGGCCCACCAAGCCGACGAUCGGUAGCCGGACUGAGAGGUUGAACGGCCACAUUGGGACUGAGACACGGCCCAAACUCCUACGGGAGGCAGCAGUGGGGGAUAUUGGACAAUGGGGGGAACCCUGAUCCAGCGACGCCGCGUGAGUGAAGAAGUAUUUCGGUAUGUAAAGCUCUGUCAGCAGGGAAGAAAGAAAUGACGGUACCCAAGGAGGAAGCUCCGGCUAACUACGUGCCAGCAGCCGCGGUAAUACGUAGGGAGCGAGCGUUGUCCGGAAUUACUGGGUGUAAAGGGAGCGUAGGCGGGAUUGCAAGUUGGAUGUGAAAACUGCGGGCUCAACCCGGAGAGUGCAUUCAAAACUGCGAUUCUUGAGUGAAGUAGAGGCAAGCGGAAUUCCUAGUGUAGCGGUGAAAUGCGUAGAUAUUAGGAGGAACACCAGUGGCGAAGGCGGCUUGCUGGGCUUUUACUGACGCUGAGGCUCGAAAGUGUGGGGAGCAAACAGGAUUAGAUACCCUGGUAGUCCACACCGUAAACGAUGAUUACUAGGUGUGGGGGCGUCAAGCCACCGUGCCGGAGUUAACACAAUAAGUAAUCCACCU
RNAcentral lists this ribosomal RNA (806 nucleotides) under uncultured bacterium. RNAcentral describes it as "bacterial SSU rRNA". It matches the Rfam family "Bacterial small subunit ribosomal RNA", at positions 64 to 874 of the family's 1533-position model. The record is from RNAcentral.